Molecule: non-coding RNA, 12168 nt
Organism: Callithrix jacchus (white-tufted-ear marmoset)
Lineage: Eukaryota; Metazoa; Chordata; Mammalia; Primates; Cebidae
Source: RefSeq, a predicted model, not a curated record
GGUCUGGGCUUCCACAGAGAGAGACUGUUUUUGAGCACAUCUGGAGUGACUCACAGGGCAUGUGAUCUCCUUGGCAGUGGGGUGGAUAAAUAUAAUUUUUGUACUUGAGUUCCAUGUGUUGGAUGCACCCACUGGAAUUUUUCUUUAACAAACAGACCCGCGGAACUUGUUAGAGAGCCCGGCGAAGAGUUGGCUGCUCUCCCUGUCCACACUUACAAUACCAGAGCCAGGGGCGAGGGCUGGAGGCAGAAUUGGGAGCCUGCCUGGCAGACACCAGGGCUGAUUGAGCCUAAAGCUGCCUUUAGGACAGCAAAAUCACUGUGAUGCCUGGGCUGAGUGUCACUGUUGCCUGGCCCUGGGGCUUGACUAGGAUAUUGGUACCAAUAGCCUGUGUGUGGUCUGCCCAGGUCCUGUAUAGGUGGGAAGUUGGCAGGUUGUGACUGAGCUGAAGUGGAGAGGUGACAUGGUACAUUGAUUAUCCAUGCGAAGGUGCAUAGGUAAUGAUCCAGGAGCCCACAGGGGACCCCCAACUCACAUCUGCGAUGCUUCCAUUUCUGGGCUAUGCCUAAGACCUGGGAACAAACCACUUUGAUUUUCCUAAGCAAAAAGGGAGCGUUUUUCCAUAAUCAUUGUAAUAUACUGCCAUCGACACCUAAUUCUUUCCCAUACUGCUUCCUCAACUUCUCUGAAAUGAUAGGGAAUGCUAAAGCUUGAAGGACAUUUAAAGAUUACAUCAUCCUAUGGGUUUUCCAGUUGGUUGAGGUGGUGCCGAGGGCUAAAGGGCUCCUUGAGAGGCCUCCUCCAAGUUCUACACUACUGCAAUCAGAGCUCCGCUCUUCUCUGUUAUGAGAAGUUAUUUGGGAGCCAGGCAUGGUGCUUCAUGCCUAUAAUCUCAACAAUUUGAGAGGCCAAAGUGGGGGAAUUGCUUGAGGCCAGAAGUUCAAGACCAACUGAGGCAAAAUAGAGCCCAUCUCUACAAAAAAAUGAAAAAAUUAGCUGGGCAUGGUGGCAUGUGCUCGUAGUCCUAGUUACUCAGGUGGCUGAGGCAGAGGAUCGUUUAAGCCCAGGCGUUCAAGGCUGCAGUGAGCUAUGAUAACAGCACUUUACUCCAGCCUAGGUGACAGUGAGAACCUUUCUCUAAAAAAAAAAUUUUUUUUUAAACCCAGUUGUUUGGAAAAAAAAAAAAGGUAGGUCCAGGUGUUGUGGCUCACGUCUGUAAUCCAAGCACUUUGGAGGCCAAGGUGGGCGGAUCACCUGAGGUCGGGAGUUCAAGAACAGCCUGACCAACAUGGUGAAACCCAGUCUUAAAAAAAAUAAAUAAAUAAAAAUGGAAAGAAAAAUAAUGGACUACAUCUGAAAACCAGUACUUUCACUAAUAUUAACAGUAGCUAUUAGGUGCUUAAUUUGUUUUGGGCAGAAUGCUAAAUGCCCUCCUUGUAUUAACUGAUUUAAUGCAUGCACUGAGCUAGGAGGUUAGGGCACUAACCAGCAGCACACUCCAACAGAAAUGUAAUGUGAAUUGCAAAUGUCACUUAACAUUUUUUUUCUUUUUCUUUUUGAGAUGGGUUCUCUCUCUGUUACCCAGGCUGGGGUGCAAUGGCAUGAUCUUGGCUCACCACAACCUCCACCUCCCGGUUCAAGUGAUUCUCCUGCCUCAGCCUCCUGCAUAGCUGGGAUUACAGGUGUGUGCCACCACACCUGGCUAAUUUUUUGUAUUUUUAGUAGAGAUGGGGUUUUGUCAUGUUAGCCAGGCUGGUCUUGAACUCCUGACCUCAGGUGAUCCUCCUGCCUUGGCCUUUCAAAGUGCUGGGAUUACAGGUGUGAGCCACUGCUCCCAGCCCAACAUUUUCAACUAGUCAUAUUAAAAAAAAUGUAAAAAGAGGCUGGGCACGGUGUCUCAUGUCUGUAAUCCCAGCAUUUUGGGAGGCAAAGGCUGGCAGAUUACCUGAGGUCAGGAGUUCAUGACCAGCCUGGCCAACAUGGCAAAACCUCAUCUCUCCUAAAAAUUAGCCAGGCAUGGUGGUGCACACUUGAAAUUCCAGCUACUCAGGAGGCUGAGGCAGGAGAGUCUCUUGAGGUGAAGGUUGCAGCCAGCCAAGAUUGUGCCACUGUACUCCAGCUUGGGCAACAAGAGCGAAACUCUGUCUCAAAAAAAAAUUUUUUUAAAGUAAAAAGAAACAAGUGCAAAGAAUAGUAAUGACAUAUUUCCUUUAAUUCAGUAUAGUCAAGAUAUUAUCAUUUCUACAAGUAAGUGAGUAGUAUAGCAAGAUACUUUAUACAUUUUUUACAUGAGGUCUUUGAAAUCUAAUGUGUAUUUCACACUUACAGCACUUCUCAAUUCACACCGGCUCUGUUUCCAGUACCUGCUAGCUCCACGCAGCCAGUGGCUCCUGUAUAGCUCAGUGCAGAGCUAGAAGGUGAGAGGGCAGGCAGGCUCUGGGGAAAGAUGCCUGUCUUUGUAUCCCAGCUCUGCCACUGACUAGCUGUGUGAUAUUGGUGGAGUUCCUUAAUCUCUCUUGGGCUUGAUUUUCUUCAUUUAUAGAAUGGGGAUAAUAAUUUCUUCUUCACAGGGUUGUUUCAUGGAAUCAAUGCAUUAAUACGUACAAAUCUUGAGAAUAGUAUCUGAUACAUAGUAAGCAUUGAAUACAUGUGAGCUCUAUACACACAGAGAAAACAGGCUCAGAGGGGUUAAGUAAUUAGUCCCAGGUCAUCCAGCUAUUAGAGCUGGGAUUUUAAACAGGUCUAUGUGAGUCCAUAGCCCCCAUGCAGACCCACUCCCCUAGCUGGCCUUAAAGCUUUCUGUUUUGGGAACUCCUUGUUGAAGUGCUGGUAAGCCAGUUCUGGAGGGCUGGGGAGAAACCUUGAUUUGUAAUGCCUGCCAAUUUCCCUGGUGAAAAUUCUCCCCUCAUGACUGAUUUCGAGCUACUGAUAAUUUAACAAGUGGCUUGCAAAAUUUCUGAAGCAUUAACAAUCGGCUCUCAGGAAGUCUGUAAGAGCUGGCUCCGACACACCAUGGCCUCUACUCACCAGAUUGGUCCUACUGGCUCUAAUUAUCUUUGCUUCUAGUGUAAUGUUUUCUUUUUCUACUGUGUAAAUCUUCAAGGAUCACUCAAAGGACCUAGCACGGGGUAGCAAGCACCCUGCCGUGGCCCAUUGAAUACUCAAUGAUUGAUGCUGAAGCUGAGAAGGCUCAGGCCCCCCUGCUCUCUGGCUGACACUCUCUUGAGUGAGGAAUAUGGAUGUGAUUGAGAAUCCAGGACCAGAAAUCACGAUCUUGGCCUCCAGUCCCAGACUUUUCACAUCUGCAAGUCUCAAAUCUCCAAACUGUCACCUACUGUUGACAAACUGGGGUGAAGAUUAGCUUUUGGAUUUGGGUUGGGAAUAAAUGUGUUUGUAACUAAUUUCAUUUGUCCCAGGUCAUCCAGCUGGUAGAGCUGGGAGGAGAAUGUCUGCAGUUUCUCAAGGUGCCUGAGUGAAGUCUUGGGAAGGCCUGGCCUAGCUUACAGUACUGAUUUUUUUCUCUCCCCAUGUUCUUCUUGUUCUGUGGCAAUCCCGAGCGCACUGGUUGAGUGUGCCAAGGAAAUGGAUAACACUGCCUUUGGUAGCAGACAGUGAAAUCGUGCCAGUGGAGCUUCCCAGAGCAAUUGAUUAGGAAGAGUAUAAAAGCCCCUUUGUCUGGGUUAAAUAGAAGCCUGAUGGUGUGUUGGAGGGUGCACGGCAGUUCGGCUCACCAGCAGUUCGUUUGUUCAUGGCACACAGGACCUGCUACUUCAGAUGACACUGGUCUGGCAGGCGACAGGACACAAAGAUACUCCAGUUGGAGUCCUUCAUGCAUUUCUGCCAAGACAGGGAGCCCAGUAACACGGAACUCCUUGGCUGCCAAGACCCGCCCUGCCCUCUCUCCAGCCCGGCCCUCUCUCCCUUUCUCUGCCUUUCCGGCUACAGCAGCGUGGCAGCAGCAUUGAAGAGGCGUCUGUUCAGACCCAGGCAGGAGCGCCUCCCCUCCUGUGGGGACCUGGCUUCCCCUGGUCUCCGUAGCUGCUCUUGUUCUCCGGUGUCUUCAGAGGACCUUGUAUACUAGAUUACAAAAUACAAAUUCCAGUGAAUCUUGAAAGGGUGUUCAGUGCGACCUUAGGCAAGAAGGUCGAAGCAGCCAGACGGGAGGUGACUCCACGUGAGGUUUGUCUCCGAUGCUGCCCAGCGCUGAAUGUAGGUCUGUAUGAUUCCUGGUGUUUCUGGUAUGGACCCCUCCAAGUCCUCAUCUGCAACAAAGGAACUCUGCUGCACUUCAGGUGACCGGGCCCGGACUGAGUAGGGGCAGAGCCAGCUAUGGGGGAGGGAUGGAGAUCGGGCAGAAAUAGGAUGUGGUAGUGUCACCAAAUUUAGCACAUUAAAAUACAGGAUACCCAGUUAAAUUAGAAUUUCAAAUCAAUAAUGAAUGACUGCUUAGUAUAAGUAUAUCCCAAAUAUUGCAUGGGAUAUACUUGUAUAUUGAAAAAUUAUUUACUGUUCAUCUGAAAUUCAGAUAUAACUGGGCAUCCUAUGUUUUAUCUGACAAUUCCUUCUUGAGACUCUCAAAGAAGCCUGAAUCCUUGAUGAUGGUAAUGAGUAGUGAGGUUGACGGUGUUGGGCUGACCUGUUUCUCUUUUCUUUUCUUUUUUUUUUGGAAUAGUGUCUUGUUCUGUUGCCCAGGAUGAAGUGCAGUGGUGCAAUCAUGGCUAAUGAAGCCUGGACCUCUCGAGCUCAAGUGAUUCUCCCACCUCAGCCUCUUGAGUAGCUGAAAUUAUAUGCAUGUGCCAGCACCUGGCUAUUGUUUUGAAUUUUUUUUUUUUUUUUUUUUUUUGUAGAGAUGAGGUUUCACCAUGUUGCCCAGGCUGGUCUCAAGCUCCUGGGCUCAAGUGAUCCUCCUACCCUGGCCUCCCAAAGUGCUGGUAUUAUAGGUGUGAGCCGCCAAGCCCAGUCUUCUGGCCUGUUUCAAAUGGAAGAUGCCUGCCUGAGCCUGCUUCUCUUUUACCUUCUCUCAUCUGUCUGGAGUUUCUUGAAGAGUUAGGAAAUCAUAUUGCCUUUGAGAAGCUCAGGCAGCCAAGGAGAGAGAAGUUUUGUAGGUCACUGCUAUAAGAAAUUUCUUUCUCCUGUUCCCUUUUGUCUUGCUCCUGCAAGAGGAACAGCGCCCUCUUUAAGGAUCUGAGGACAGAAGGAAACUCGGGCAGAUAAAGCCGGCACACACUGUAGCUCGUGUCCUGGGGAGAUAAUGGCUCUGAAACUGCUAAAAUAAAUGGUCUGCUUUGUUCUUGAAUAAUCAUCAGUUGGCAGCUUUGUUCUGUCUUCCCAGCAGCUGGAUGAGAUUUUGAUUUCAGAGGAAAAAGAGUGACCUGGCGCUGAUCAUAUUGGACAGAGGGAGAAAGGAAAUUUACAACAGCCUCCCAUGUGUGGUAUGCUGAUUUGAGCUCCUUCUCUUCUUUCUUGUAUGAAUCACAUUCGUAGUGGAUCAAGAAUGGCCACAAAUAAAUCCUUUGCUACUCCUCAUAUUGAGAGGUGGAGUCCAAUUUUUCUUUGCUUGAAUCUGGGCUAGCUUUUUCUUGACCAGUAAAAUGCAGUAGAAGUGACAUUCUGAAAUUUCCAUGGCUGGGGUUGAAACUGCCCACUGCGUUCCUUGGAAUCCUUGCUGAGAACCCUGAAUUAUCAUGCAAGAAGUUCAUUACUUCGAGUUCGCAGGCUUAAAAGGCUGCAUAUUGGUGCCAGCUGAGCUCAGCCUCCCAGCAAUCCCCAUCAAGGCAUCAAGGUGCAAGACAUGAGCGAGGCCAUCUUGGGCCCUCCAGCCUAACCCAUCCUCCAUCAAAUGAUCUUUGCUGACACUAUGUGGAACAUAAAAAUUGAACGGCUGACCCUUGUCUGAAUUCCUAACCCACAAAACAGUGAGAUAUAAUAAAAUGGUGGUUUUAUAAUAUUCAUAUAUAUUUGUAACCAACCUUGGUUUUAAGCCACCAAGGUUUAGAAUAGUUUGCUAUGUCACAGAUACCUGGAACUUUGUUGUAGAGAAGACUGGGCACAUGUUAACAGAGCUGAGAGGGACCUAGAGGUCAGGUAUUUCAACUCCCUGAUUUGCACAUAAGAAUUCUGAAUAUUGUCAGACGCCUCCAGAAACCGAGCGCAAAAUGCAGCAAUCACACAGAAGGUGCUGGAGCCUCCUUCCUUCAGCUUUCCCUCCCCUGCCCUUGAUGGCGAAGGCUCUCUUGUGUUUAUCUUUCCUGGAUAACCUCACUGGAAAAGUGCCCAUAAGCAGAAUAAGAUGUAUGGAUGGCCAGCCAUGUCAUCUUGUCCAUGUGAAGUUGUUCCAAAAAUCUGCUUUUUAGCACUGGUGUCUGUCUGCCUCCCAGGGCCACAGAGAGCUCUCUGAGGUGUAGGACUGUAUUUUCUGUUUGUCUGGCUUCACUCUUGUUUCCAUUCCUUCUAGAGGGCCUACUCCAGGGAGGCUCCCUCUACCCCACUGGGGGCAGCAUCCCAGCCUAAACAAAGAGAUUCUUGGUCUAUACACUCAUAGACAAUCCCAUGACAGGUCCAGUUCCAUAGGCCUGCGACCAGUGAAGUCACACAGGGCCCCAUACACAGAAGAACCCUGUGCUUAAUUUAAUGUUCUGCUGUUGCCAUCAUGAAAUUCUUAGUAAGUUUUGAACAUGGAGCCCUGCCCUUUUAUUUUGUACUGGGCCCUGAACGUGAAGUAGUUGGUCCUGCUGGUGACUCACACUCAUAUGGUGGGACCAGGAGCCUUGGCUAUUUCGUUAGUUCAGCCUGUACCAUCUCACUGGGAACUAGGUGGAGAAGUUAUAUCAGCAAGGAAGGAAAAACCACAUUAAAACAGGAACACUGUAUUCAUGUUUCCCUCUGUCUGACAGAUCCCCUCAAAGACCUUAGGAACAGAUACUCCCAACCCCUGUAAUUAACAACAUGCCCGAAUCUUCUGGUAGAAUUAACCGGGUGUGAGGGUAGGCUGGGAAUGGAGCUACAGCGUCCCGUAGCUCAGGCCUAAAACAACAGAACCUAGAAUGUGCUGACUCUCAGCUCUUCUUCCCCAGGAACCAAGCUGAGGAAGCUCCUUCCCCACCAGCUGGGUUUUUUCUACUUGGGCAGAUAGGAGGGGACAGGGAGGAGCAGGGGUUUCAGGCACCCAGAGCUUGUAUAAUAGGCCAGGAAGGAAAUGAAGAGCUAGGACCCCACCUAGAGCCUUGAUAGUGGUUUAGGAAGCUUGGGGACUGAAGAAGGUCCUCAGCCCCUCCGCAGCAAAUAUGAAUCCCACUCCUCAUAACUGUUGCACACGUGCUAGUCCUUUUUAGCACGCUCCUCCGCCUGCCUCCGGCUUGCCCUUUUGCAUAGCUGCCCCCAUCCAAACACAGCUGUCUCUUUUUUGUCUAUCCCAGCUGUGUCUCAAAAAAAUCAAAAAGUCUGGGUUGGAGGCUUAGCUGAUGUUUCUUUGCCUUUUCUCUAUCUGUUUAUUGUCUGAGAACCAUGAUACUCAAAGUGUGGUCCCCGAACUAGCAGGGCCAGCAUCACCUGGGAAAUUGUCAGAAAUGCUGAUUCUUGAACCUCUUGAAUCAGAAACUCUGGAGUAUGGCUGGUAAUCUGAAUUUUUAACAAGCCCAUCAGGUGAGUCUAAUGAUCAAUCCAGUUGGAAAACCAUGCUCUUUGAAACAUAUGGCAGCAAUAAGGCCCUCUAUUAGCUUCCAGCAUUUCAGAGUUGACACCUGUGUGAUGGAUGCGCUCUCACUUUUGAAAAGGAAAGAGAGUAACUUUCAGGUACAUCACCCCAUCCACACACACCCAAAAGUACACAAAAAGUGGAAGCAUGCCUGGCUCCUCUUUCCUCCUCUAUUUACCAUCUGUUAGCCACGCUUUGAGUUGUUUGAACAAGAGAAUCAGUGUCAGAAUAAACUUGCUUGUAGGGUGUCUGGAAGGCAGGUGCGGCCUGCCACUUCCAAUGCAAGCUGAGAGCAAACACGGCAUACUGAGCCCAAAUCGGGCUUCUGCUGCUAGAGACAGAGCUAGAAUUUAUGUUGCGCUCAGAUGAUGCCCCCUAAUGUGCUGCCUUACCUUGGGGCCUUAAUUAGAAGCAGCAGUGACCCCUGGGCCUGCUGAGCUUUUAUUUGAUGUGAUUGCACAAGACAGCUGAGAUGGAAAACUAGACCUUUUGUUGUUUCACACAUUCUAAAAAGUUUUUUCGUAAAAGCCCCUUUCUUGGUUCUUAUUUGCUGUCACAUGCACGAGGAUAAUUUUUAAAAAAGUCAUACGGGGCAAACAAUUGGUAAAAUCUGGCUUUCCUGUUUGUUCUAGUAUCAUCAGGUUCAACUGAUGCCAUCUCUGCCUCACCUCCUCUUCCUCGCAAGAGCCCUCCCUUCUGCAGCCCCUCCCAUUUAUUUACCAUGGCUUCCCUGCCAGUCUCCUUCCCUUUUCCUUGGGUUCUUCUAGGGCUGUCCUAGUGUUUAGUAUUAGAAGCUUGAACACUGAAGAAAAUAUUCCAUAUAAAAGUGAAAAAUACCCACUUAAAAUGUGGGUGUGUUAAUUUCAUAAUUGCACCCCUCUGAAUUGACCAGAUAAACUAAAAAGCUGUGGAGAUUGAGUUGGCUUGCUUUAUACCCAUAGAAGCAAUGGAGAACACGCCACAGGCUGUCAGACACCAGCAGUAACCUGUAUGAAUGCACAAAGGAGCCGGAAAGCGAUGUGACUUCGUUCCUGGAUCUACCACGUGUGUUGUGUAAAUAAAUUAAUGAGCUCAACCCAGUGCAGUUCUUGGCUCAAAACAAGCCCUAAGUAACUGUACUGUGUGGCACUUCCUGCAUAGCAGAGUAGCCUUACUCUUGCUAACAGGAAUCUCAUAGCAACUGAGGUUGGCUGAUAUAUCAAGGGGAUCUUGCACCUGGACAUGUGGAGCUGUGUUGAUUAGAAAGGCAACGCUUGUUCUCUGUCUUGAUUUCUCUGGGCUUUCAAAUUGUGGCUUAUUCUUGUUUAUUUGGUUUUGAGACAGCCUCACUCUGUCCCCAAGGCUAGAGUGCAGUGGCACAAUCUCGGCUCACUGCAACCUCUGCCUUCUGGGUUCAAGCGAUUCUUGUGUCUCAGCCUCUGGAGUAGCUGGGAUCACAGGUGCAUGCCACCACACCCGGCUAAUUGUUUGGAUUUUUAGUAGAGAUGGGGUUUUGCUGUGUUGGCCAGGCUGGUCUCAAACUCCUAGCCUCAAGUGAUCUGCCCUCCUUGGCCUCCCAAAGUGCUGAGAUUAUAGGCAUGAGCCACCGCACCCAGCCUUGUUUGUUUGUAAAAUUCAUUUAACUUCCUUUAAGCAUACACGGGAAUUUGUUGGAAAAGUCCUGGAGUAUCACGUACAACCCAAGGCCAAGAACUACAGCUGGAGCUACCUGAAGGCCUGGAACCAGGAAGGAAAUGCUGUGAGCAGCCCUUGGGAGAAGUCCACACGGCCAGUUACUGAGGCCUCCAGCCAACAGCCAGUGAGACCCGGAGACUGGCCUGCAACCAUGUGACUGAGCUGAGAGGUGGCUCCUGCAGUUCUGUAGCACUGUGGCCCCAGCUGAUAUAGUGACUGCCACUUCCUGUGAGACCCCAAGAUGGAACCACCCAGCUUAAGUGCUCUGGGUUCUGCCCCAUGGAAACUGGAGAUUAAAAAAAAAACAGGUCCAAAGAAAUCAAGUAACUUGCCUAAGUUCACAAAGCUAGUAAGAGACAGCGCUGGGAUUUGAGCCCAGGAAGCACGACACAGAGCCUGCUCCUACACUCCUUCCUGCACCUCCUUGACUUAAUGAUUUUACAUCUGGUACUUUUGUGAAGGAGUUGUGAACAGGAAAUGCUUUUUUUUGGCUUGAAUGGAUGACAGCUUGGAGAUCCUACGUUUUUUCCAUUUAAGCUCACCUCCAAGGACAGGUGGGAAUUAAACUUUCCAAUUGACAUCAUCAUCAGAUUUGUGACAUCAUCAUCAGAAACUGUCCAUGAAGCCUCUUCCUCCAAUGAGAAAGCCCAAGUAAGCUUUACAGAGUCCGAGACCAUGCUGAAGACUCUCCCUUCAAAGCAUUCGGUAGAAGAGAGAACACACAGACAGACGAGUCCGAUACAAUUUAAAGAGUGAUACCUGCUGUGAGAGAAGUGAUAAAGCUUGGUUGAAUUCUUGGGGUUAUUACAUAAGUCAGACUACAUGUCUUUUUGCACGCCAAUAUAUUCACAAUUGUGUCCAAGUUAAGGGCUCAUGCAUUUUAGAGAAGGGAACGGGGGAUGGUUCACAGAGUGGAGCCAGGGAGAGCAGAUGUAGAAGCCUCAUGUCUGGGAUUAUCAGGGUUCUUGAAGCCUGAGGAUCUUCUCAUUUCCUUAAUGAAGAGAGAACUCCAUACAGAAGCCUGGGCUAUGGCUAGUUCUUGGGCUAUCAUGAGCAAGAAGGCAACCCAAUCUGUGUGAAUAACGGGAAACCCAACUGAACGGCGUUUUAUCGAGAUGUUUCUGUUUGUAUUUCAAUGCCAAAUGUUGAAAGCAGAAAGCUGGUUUUGUUUUGCUAGGGCUGCUGAAACCAGGAGACGUGGACUUGCAAGUUCCCUGCCAUGUCAGUUUCAGCUCCCCAUAAAAAAAGGUUUUUAUCAUCCACAUCCUCACCAUCACUCUUACCAUCACCAUCAUCAUCACCCUUAUCACUUCUUCUUCUUCUUUUUUUUUUGAGAUAGUCUCUAAGGCCCAGCAAUGAGGAAGGAAUGUUUAGGGCCCUGCUCGGGGGGCCUCAGCACACGGCCUGACUCCGCGCAGUCAUGCUCAGAGCAGCCCUCUGUGUGCCUGACCCCUCCCUCUGUUUCUCAAUAGGCGUGGCCUUUGUCACCAGAGUGCUCAGCCCCUGGGACUAACAUUCAUCUAAUUGUCCCGGUCAGAAACCUUGUGCAGUUUUUGGUUUCUUCCUCUUCCACAUCACCCAGAUAUCUCAAAUACACCCACUUCCUUCCAUCUGUGCUGCUAAUGCAGAAUUCCAGACAGCAACAUUUCUCACCAGGAUGACCACACCAGCUGCUUACUUGUCUCCUGCUUUCUCUCUAGUUCCUUCACUUUUCUUUUCUCCUCAGAGUAACCUAGGUAUGUUUUUUAAAUGAUAAAUUAUACCAUAUUACACUCCUUAAAACCCUUCAAUGGCGUCCCAUUACAUGUUGGAGAAAAGUCUAAAUCUCAUAGUAUGAUUAUCAAGGUCCUCCCCUGAUAGAGCCCCUGCCCACCUUCCCAAUGACACCUCCCCGAUCCAGCCCCUGCUCCCCUUCCCAACGUCACCUCCCCUGAUCCAGCCCCUGCCCACCUUCCCAAUACCACCUCCCCUGAUCCAGCCCCUGCCCACCUUCCCAAUGUCAUCUCCCCUGAUCCAGCCCCUGCCCACCUUUCCAAUUCCAUCUUGUUCCACUUCCCCCUUCACUCAUGUAACUUGGGCCACUCUGGCUGCUUUGUAUUUUUUAAAUUGGUGCAACAUUUCCCAUAUCUGGUCUUCUGACACAUUGUUCCCUCUGCAUGGGACACUUUUCCUCCUGAAUGCUUGCAUGGCUGGACUAUUUUUUAUACCUCAGGUCUUGUCUUAAAUGUCCCCUCCUGGCUGGGUGUGGUGGCUCAUGCCUGUAAUCCCAGCACUUUGGGAGGCUGAGGCGGGUGGAUCAUGAGGUCAAGAGUUUGAGACCAGCCUGGACAAUAUGGUAAAACCCCAUCUCUACUAAAAAUACAAAAAUUAGCCGGGUGUGGUGACAUGUGCCUGUAGUCCCAGCUACUCAGGUGGCUGAGGCAGAAGAAUUGCCUGAACCCGGCAAGUGGAGGUUGCAGUGAGCGAAGAUUGUGCCACUGCACUCCAGCCUGAGCAACAGAGCAAGAUUCAGUCUCAAACAACAACAACAAUAAAAUAAAAUAAAAAAACCCUAAGAAACAAAAUAACAGAAAACAAUGUCCCCACCUUAGCAAGGCCUUCCGGAGUGAUCUCCUCAUCUGGCUCCAUCAUUGUGCUUUGUUUCUCCCUGGCACUUAGCAUGCAUUGAGAUCACACAUACAUUUGUUUAUAUUCUUGUUGAAUGCCUGUCUGCUCUCUGCACUGAAGUUCAAUGACGGAAUGGCCCUGUUAGUUUUGCUCAGCGUCAGUUUACUUUGGAACCCCUAACAUAAUGCCUUAAA